RNAcentral lists this ribosomal RNA (668 nucleotides) under uncultured Lachnospiraceae bacterium. Its description in RNAcentral is "bacterial SSU rRNA". It matches the Rfam family "Bacterial small subunit ribosomal RNA", at positions 73 to 754 of the family's 1533-position model. Lineage: Bacteria; Bacillati; Bacillota; Clostridia; Lachnospirales; Lachnospiraceae. The record is from RNAcentral.
UUCUUCGGAUGAAGAGGUUUGUGACUGAGUGGCGGACGGGUGAGUAACGCGUGGGUAACCUGCCUCAUACAGGGGGAUAACAGUUAGAAAUGACUGCUAAUACCGCAUAAGACCACGGAGCCGCAUGGCUCGGUGGGAAAAACUCCGGUGGUAUGAGAUGGACCCGCGUCUGAUUAGGUAGUUGGUGGGGUAACGGCCUACCAAGCCGACGAUCAGUAGCCGACCUGAGAGGGUGACCGGCCACAUUGGGACUGAGACACGGCCCAAACUCCUACGGGAGGCAGCAGUGGGGAAUAUUGCACAAUGGGGGAAACCCUGAUGCAGCGACGCCGCGUGAGCGAUGAAGUAUUUCGGUAUGUAAAGCUCUAUCAGCAGGGAAGAAAAUGACGGUACCUGACUAAGAAGCCCCGGCUAACUACGUGCCAGCAGCCGCGGUAAUACGUAGGGGGCAAGCGUUAUCCGGAUUUACUGGGUGUAAAGGGAGCGUAGACGGCAUGGCAAGCCAGAUGUGAAAGCCCGGGGCUCAACCCCGGGACUGCAUUUGGAACUGUCAGGCUAGAGUGUCGGAGAGGAAAGCGGAAUUCCUAGUGUAGCGGUGAAUGCGUAGAUAUUAGGAGGAACACCAGUGGCGAAGGCGGCUUUCUGGACGAUGACUGACGUUGAGGCUC